RNAcentral lists this unclassified non-coding RNA (257 nucleotides) under Hevea brasiliensis (rubber tree). Lineage: Eukaryota; Viridiplantae; Streptophyta; Magnoliopsida; Malpighiales; Euphorbiaceae. The record is from RNAcentral.
GUUGCAUUUCUUGUGAUCUUUGGCACUCUAUUGCAUUCUCAAGUGGCUAGUGGGAUUCGGUUUGUUAUAGAUAGAGAGGAAUGCUUCUCCCAUUCAGUUCCAUAUGAAGGAGAUACGGUUCAUGUGUCCUUUGUUGUGAUCAAAGCUGAGACUCCAUGGCAUUAUGGUGAUGAAGGUGUUGAUCUUGUGGUCAAAGGUCCUUCAGGUGAUCAGAUUCGUGAUGCACGUGACAAGACGAGCGACAAGUUUGAAUUUGU